Molecule: ribosomal RNA, 467 nt
Filed under: uncultured bacterium
Lineage: Bacteria
Description: partial 16S ribosomal RNA
Rfam family: Bacterial small subunit ribosomal RNA
Source: RNAcentral
GACGAACGCUGGCGGCGUGCUUAACACAUGCAAGUCGAACGGAAAGGCCCUGCUUUUGUGGGGUGCUCGAGUGGCGAACGGGUGAGUAACACGUGAGUACCUGCCCUUGACUUUGGGAUAACUUCAGGAAACUGGGGCUAAUACCGGAUAGGAGCUUCUGCUGCCUGGUGGGGGUUGGAAAGUUUCGGCGGUUGGGGUUGGACUCGCGGGUUAUCAGCUUGUUGGUGGGGGAGUGUCUUACCAAGGCUUUGACGGGUAGCCGGCCUUAGAGGGUGACCGGCCACAUGGGGACUGAGAUACGGCCCAGACUCCUACGGGAGGCAGCAGUGGGGAAUAUUGCACAAUGGGCGGAAGCCUGAUGCAGCAACCCCGCGUGCGGGAUGACGGCCUUCGGGUUGUAAACCGCUUUCGCCUGUGACGAAGCGUGAGUGACGGUAAUGGGUAAAGAAGCACCGGCUAACUACGUG